GCUAGCGUAGCUCAACGGCAGAGUUCCUGUUUUGUAAACAGGCGGUUGUGGGUUCGAAUCCCUCCGCUAGCUC
Molecule: transfer RNA, 73 nt
Filed under: Planctomyces sp. SH-PL14
Lineage: Bacteria; Pseudomonadati; Planctomycetota; Planctomycetia; Planctomycetales; Planctomycetaceae
Description: tRNA-Thr
Rfam family: tRNA
About the family: Transfer RNA (tRNA) molecules are approximately 80 nucleotides in length.
Source: RNAcentral